RNAcentral lists this long non-coding RNA (603 nucleotides) under Piliocolobus tephrosceles (Ugandan red Colobus). Its description in RNAcentral is "lncRNA (ENSPTEG00000039309.1)". Lineage: Eukaryota; Metazoa; Chordata; Mammalia; Primates; Cercopithecidae. The record is from RNAcentral.
CUCUCACAUGUCUUUUUCAAGGUGUCCAAGGAAUUUAUUGCUUUCUACUCUUUUGUCCCCACCUGUAUAGGAUGAAUAAUCUGAUAUCAUGUGAGAUGAGGAAAUAAGAAGCUUUCUGCUGACUUCAUUGCGACCCAGGGUCCAAAAGGUGAUGUAAUCCUGUGGCAAGAAGAUUCAAAACUGUGAGCUAUCUUACAAAAAAUACAAGAAGAUAUGGAAAGUUUUCAUGAGUGCCUACCACCUAAUCCCAAACACUGUCAUUCAUAUGCGCGACAUUGAGCAAAUCUUUAUUGAGGAUCUAUAUGCCAGAUUUCUGACAUCAUAUCUGUGGGAUCCACACAGUGGGGAGGUGCUGGCCUUGGAAUCCAUGGUUCCCCAGCUAUCAUUUUAAUUUAGAAUUACAGUGUUCUCUGUUAGCAUCAAGGGAAUGAACCUGAAGAGAAAAGACCAAACAUAGGACUGUUACAGGGAAGAAAAAUAUGAAAAGACCUAAAGAUGCACUUCCUCAUUAUAUGUAAGGAACCUAUUUCCUAGAAUCCUAUAAAAAGCUCAAGUGAAUUUGCUUCAGUUAAUAAAUGUGAUUUAAUUAUAAUGAUAAUACCA